RNAcentral lists this ribosomal RNA (961 nucleotides) under uncultured bacterium. RNAcentral's name for it is "bacterial SSU rRNA". It matches the Rfam family "Bacterial small subunit ribosomal RNA", at positions 578 to 1533 of the family's 1533-position model. The record is from RNAcentral.
GUNUCUUAAGUCUGAUGUGAAAGCCCACGGCUCAACCGUGGAGGGUCAUUGGAAACUGGGAGACUUGAGUACAGAAGAGGAGAGUGGAAUUUCCACGUGUAGCGGUGAAAUGCGUAGAUAUGUGGAGGAACACCAGUGGCGAAGGCGACUCUCUGGUCUGUAACUGACGCUGAGGCGCGAAAGCGUGGGGAGCAAACAGGAUUAGAUACCCUGGUAGUCCACGCCGUAAACGAUGAGUGCUAGGUGUUAGGGGUUUCGAUGCCCUUAGUGCCGAAGUUAACACAUUAAGCACUCCGCCUGGGGAGUACGACCGCAAGGUUGAAACUCAAAGGAAUUGACGGGGGCCCGCACAAGCAGUGGAGCAUGUGGUUUAAUUCGAAGCAACGCGAAGAACCUUACCAGGUCUUGACAUCCUUUGACCACCCUAGAGAUAGGGCUUUCCCCUUCGGGGGACAAAGUGACAGGUGGUGCAUGGUUGUCGUCAGCUCGUGUCGUGAGAUGUUGGGUUAAGUCCCGCAACGAGCGCAACCCUUGAUCUUAGUUGCCAGCAUUCAGUUGGGCACUCUAAGGUGACUGCCGGUGACAAACCGGAGGAAGGUGGGGAUGACGUCAAAUCAUCAUGCCCCUUAUGACCUGGGCUACACACGUGCUACAAUGGAUGGUACAAAGGGCUGCAAAACCGCGAGGUUGAGCGAAUCCCAUAAAGCCAUUCUCAGUUCGGAUUGUAGGCUGCAACUCGCCUACAUGAAGCCGGAAUUGCUAGUAAUCGCGGAUCAGCAUGCCGCGGUGAAUACGUUCCCGGGCCUUGUACACACCGCCCGUCACACCACGAGAGUUUGUAACACCCGAAGUCGGUGAGGUAACCUUUUGGAGCCAGCCGCCUAAGGUGGGACAGAUGAUUGGGGUGAAGUCGUAACAAGGUAGCCGUAUCGGAAGGUGCGGCUGGAUCACCUCCUUAAUU